GAUGAAGAACGUAGCGAAAUGCGAUAAGUAAUGCGAAUUGCAGAAUUUCCGUGAGUCAUCGAAUCUUUGAACGCACAUUGCGCCCAUUGGCAUUCCGAUGGGCAUGCCUGUUCGAGCGUCAUUAUCCUCCCUCAAACCCCUGGGUUUGGUGUUGGACUGUGUGGUGCCUGGCACCACUGGUCUCAAAGACAAUGACGGCGUCCGUGGGACCCUCGGUGCAACGAGCUUUUCGAAGCACGCGUCGAGUGGACAGUCUCUCCGGGCCGGUCACCUCUCCAAUUUUUCUCAGGUUGACCUCGGAUCAGGUAGGAAUACCCGCUGAACUUAAGCAUACAAUAAGCGGAGGA
This 347-nucleotide unclassified non-coding RNA is filed under the name soil metagenome. Its description in RNAcentral is "partial contains 5.8S ribosomal RNA, internal transcribed spacer 2, and large subunit ribosomal RNA". The stretch from base 1 to 121 matches the Rfam family "5.8S ribosomal RNA", at positions 35 to 154 of the family's 154-position model. The record is from RNAcentral.